Molecule: long non-coding RNA, 661 nt
Filed under: Ananas comosus (pineapple)
Lineage: Eukaryota; Viridiplantae; Streptophyta; Magnoliopsida; Poales; Bromeliaceae
Description: long non-coding RNA (ACOM_LNC033842)
Source: RNAcentral
GAUGACUUAUAUUGAUGGCCAAUUCGGAUCAGGUUCGGGUCGGGUUCGGGUUCGGGUUCGGAUCGGGUACAAUCAAAAUCCAUAUCCGAAUCCAUAUCCGUCGGGUUUCUAUUUUCGAUAUCCAUAUCCGAAUCCAUAUACAUAUCCAUCGGAUAUAUCCGUUUCAUUCGGGUUCGGGUUCGGAUGAAAUUUUGAAUAUCCUUACCAAUUGACAUCCCUACCAACUGGUCUAAAAAGUACAAAUGGGAAAGGAUUUGGGCUUUUAAGUUCCUUUAUAGAGUUAUAUUUAAGCCCAAUACAAUUGUUGUAGGCCAUCUAAUUUUGUCCUUUAUUUCAUAACCAUCAUGGAUAUAUCAUGGAUAUAUCAUUGCUAUUUGAGAUGAUAAUAUGAUAUUGUUUUACUUCUCAUAUUAUAAAAAUUGAGUCCAAUCGAUAGUACCAAACUUUUGAUACUAUCGUAUUUUCUACCGUUAGAUCUACCCUUAAAGUUUUUUCACUCGUUAGAUUAUACUAUUCAACUAGCCAUUCACUCAACUCUAGAAAAUUACUAUCAUCCUAACCACACAUCCUUUUAUCCAACGGCCGAAAACUCUAUAAUACCAAAUGUUUGGUACUAUGGAAAGUAUAGUAACGUAAUUCUAUAAAAUAUCUAAAAAAAAAU